This 497-nucleotide ribosomal RNA is filed under the name uncultured bacterium. RNAcentral's name for it is "partial 16S ribosomal RNA". It matches the Rfam family "Bacterial small subunit ribosomal RNA", at positions 28 to 507 of the family's 1533-position model. The record is from RNAcentral.
GACGAACGCUGGCGGCGUGCCUAAUACAUGCAAGUAGAACGCUUAAGAGAGGAGCUUGCUCUUCUUGGAUGAGUUGCGAACGGGUGAGUAACGCGUAGGUAACCUGCCUUGUAGCGGGGGAUAACUAUUGGAAACGAUAGCUAAUACCGCAUAACAAUGGAUGACACAUGUCAUUUAUUUGAAAGGUGCAAUUGCUCCACUACAAGAUGGACCUGCGUUGUAUUAGCUAGUAGGUGAGGUAAUGGCUCACCUAGGCGACGAUACAUAGCCGACCUGAGAGGGUGAUCGGCCACACUGGGAAUGAGACACGGCCCAGACGCCUACGGGAGGCAGCAGAAGGGAAUAUUCGGCAAUGGGGGCAAGCAUGACCGAGCAACGCCGCGUGAGUGAAGAAGGUUUUCGGAUCGUAAAGCUAUGUUGUAAGUCAAGAACGGGGGUGAGAGUGGAAAGUUCACACUGUGAAGGGAGAUGAGCAGAAAGGGACGGCUAAAUAAGUG